RNAcentral lists this ribosomal RNA (738 nucleotides) under uncultured haloarchaeon. RNAcentral describes it as "bacterial SSU rRNA". It matches the Rfam family "Archaeal small subunit ribosomal RNA", at positions 5 to 746 of the family's 1478-position model. The record is from RNAcentral. Lineage: Archaea; Methanobacteriati; Methanobacteriota; Halobacteria; Halobacteriales; Halobacteriaceae.
CGGUUGAUCCUGCCGGAGGACAUUGCUAUUGGGAUUCGAUUUAGCCAUGCUAGUCGAACGAGUUUACACUCGUGGCAGAUAGCUCAGUAACACGUGGCCAAGCUACCCUUCAGUCGGCAAUACCCUCGGGAAACUGAGGCUAAUGGCCGAUAUGGAACAGUCGCUGGAAUGCACUGUUUUCUAAAGACAUCGCUGAAGGAUGCGGCUGCGGCCGAUUAGGUAGACGGUGGGGUAACGGCCCACCGUGCCAGUAAUCGGUACGGGUGAUGAGAGUCAGAGCCCGGAGACGGAAUCUGAGACAAGAUUCCGGGCCCUACGGGGCGCAGCAGGCGCGAAACCUUUACACUGCACGGAAGUGCGAUAGGGGAAUCCCAAGUGCGAGGGCAUAUUAGCCCUCGCUUUUGUUGACUGUAAGGUGGUCAACGAAUAAGAGCUGGGCAAGACCGGUGCCAGCCGCCGCGGUAAUACCGGCAGCUCAAGUGAUGUCCCAUAUUAUUGGGCCUAAAGCGUCCGUAGCUGGCCAACCAAGUCCAUCGGGAAAUCCACCUGCCCAACGGGUGGGCGUCCGGUGGAAACUGGCUGGCUUGGAACCGGAAGGCUCAGAGAGUACGUCCGGGGUAGGAGUGAAAUCCCGUAAUCCCGGACGGACUACCGAUGGCGAAAGCACUCUGAGAAGACGGCUUCGACAGUGAGGGACGAAAGCUCGGGUCUCAAACCGGAUUAGAUACCCCGGUAGUC